RNAcentral lists this ribosomal RNA (468 nucleotides) under uncultured bacterium. RNAcentral describes it as "partial 16S ribosomal RNA". It matches the Rfam family "Bacterial small subunit ribosomal RNA", at positions 28 to 507 of the family's 1533-position model. The record is from RNAcentral.
GACGAACGCUGGCGGCGUGCUUAACACAUGCAGGUCGAACGGAAAGGCCCUGCUUUUGUGGGGUGCUCGAGUGGCGAACGGGUGAGUAACACGUGAGUAACCUGCCCUUGACUUUGGGAUAACUUCAGGAAACUGGGGCUAAUACCGGAUAGGAGCUCCUGCUGCAUGGUGGGGGUUGGAAAGUUUCGGCGGUUGGGGAUGGACUCGCGGCUUAUCAGCUUGUUGGUGGGGUAGUGGCUUACCAAGGCUUUGACGGGUAGCCGGCCUGAGAGGGUGACCGGCCACAUUGGGACUGAGAUACGGCCCAGACUCCUACGGGAGGCAGCAGUGGGGAAUAUUGCACAAUGGGCGGAAGCCUGAUGCAGCAACGCCGCGUGCGGGAUGACGGCCUUCGGGUUGUAAACCGCUUUCGCCUGUGACGAAGCGUGAGUGACGGUAAUGGGAAAAGAAGCACCGGCUAACUACGUG